RNAcentral lists this ribosomal RNA (831 nucleotides) under uncultured archaeon. RNAcentral's name for it is "bacterial SSU rRNA". It matches the Rfam family "Archaeal small subunit ribosomal RNA", at positions 56 to 878 of the family's 1478-position model. The record is from RNAcentral.
AGUUUUUUGCUCUAGUACUUGUACUAGUGUGAAGGCGAACUGCUCACUAAUACGUAGUUAAUCUGACCUUGAGCGAGGGAUAAGCACGGCAAACUGUGUCUAAUACCUCAUAGAAGUUUGGUUCUGGAACGAUCUUACUUUGAAACGCUCUGGCUCAAGGGUGAGACUGCGCCUGAUUAGCUUGUUGGUGGGGUAACUGCCUACCAAGGCGAUGAUCAGUAGGGGCUCUUAGCGGAGUGGCCCCGAGAAGGAAUCUGAGACACUAUUCCUAGCUCUACGGAGUGCAGCAGCUGCGAAUAUUUUACAAUGCACGAAAGUGUGAUAAAGCAAACCAAAGUGCUUAUCGUACAGAUAAGCUUUUCUUCAGUGUAAAAAACCGGAGGAAUAAGGACUGGGAAAGACCGGUGCCAGCCGCCGCGGUAAUACCGGCAGUUCAAGUGGCAUCCAACUUUAUUGGGUCUAAAACAUCCGUAGCUUGCUUUGUAAGUCUCUUGUGAAAUCUGAUGUCUCAAGCAUCAGGCUUGCGGGAGAUACUGCAAUGGCUAGAGACCGGUAGGCGUAAGGAGUACGGAGAAGGUAGUGGUUAAAUACGUUAAUCUUCUUUGGACUAACGAUUUAGCGAAGGCACCUUACGAGGACGGAUCUGACAGUGAGGGAUGAAGGCCAGGGGCGCAAAACGGAUUAGAUACCCGUGUAGUCCUGGCAGUAAACACUGCUUACUAAACAUCGGGCCCUCUUCGGGAGGAUUCGGUGCUGAAGCGAAGGCGAAGAGUAAGCUACCUGGGAAGUAUAGUCGCAAGGUCGAAACUCAAAUGAAUUGACGGAAUCGAA